UUUUUUUUUUUGGGAAAUCUGGCCGCAACGAGUAAGAGGGUCGCAAUGGUUAGCGUUGAAGACUUUGGGCGUAGGCCCGGUUGAAGCUUCCAUUGGUGCAGAUCUUGGUGGUAGUAGCAAAUAUUCAAGUGAGAUCCUUGAAGACUGAAGUGGAGAAGGGUUCCACGUGAACAGCAGUUGAAUGUGGGUCAGUCGAUCCUAAGAUAUUGGCUAGUGCCGUUUUUUAAAAUAAAAUAGAGGAAUGGAGGUGUAAUCCAUCUGAUAAAUCGAAAGGGAAACGGGUUAAUAUUCCCGUACCUGGACACGGAGAUAAAUGCUCAUUGUGAGAAUUUAGCGCGGUAACGCAAAUGAACUCGGAAACAUUGAGGAAAGCCCGAGCCAGAGUUCUCUUUUCUGGUUAAGGAACGGACUCCCUGGAAUCGGUUCAGCCGGAGAUAGGGAUGUUGUUUCCGUAAAGCGCCACGGUUCCUGUGGUGUCUCGUGCGCUUUGUUCGAUCCAUGAAAAUCCGAGGGAAGCUAUUUGAAUUUCGUGCCAGAUCGUACCCAUAUCCGCAGCAGGUCUCCAAGGUGAACAGCCUCUAGUCGAUAGAAUAAUGUAGGUAAGGGAAGUCGGCAAAUUAGAUCCGUAACUUCGGGAUAAGGAUUGGCU
This 649-nucleotide non-coding RNA is filed under the name Brugia timori. RNAcentral describes it as "Eukaryotic large subunit ribosomal RNA". It matches the Rfam family "Eukaryotic large subunit ribosomal RNA", at positions 1363 to 1953 of the family's 3401-position model. Lineage: Eukaryota; Metazoa; Nematoda; Chromadorea; Rhabditida; Onchocercidae. The record is from Rfam by way of RNAcentral.